UGGGGAAUAUUGGACAAUGGGCGAAAGCCUGAUCCAGCCAUGCCGCGUGUGUGAAGAAGGUCUUCGGAUUGUAAAGCACUUUAAGUUGGGAGGAAGGGCCAUUACCUAAUACGUGAUGGUUUUGACGUUACCGACAGAAUAAGCACCGGCUAACUCUGUGCCAGCAGCCGCGGUAAUACAGAGGGUGCAAGCGUUAAUCGGAAUUACUGGGCGUAAAGCGCGCGUAGGUGGUUUGUUAAGUUGGAUGUGAAAUCCCCGGGCUCAACCUGGGAACUGCAUUCAAAACUGACUGACUAGAGUAUGGUAGAGGGUGGUGGAAUUUCCUGUGUAGCGGUGAAAUGCGUAGAUAUAGGAAGGAACACCAGUGGCGAAGGCGACCACCUGGACUGAUACUGACACUGAGGUGCGAAAGCGUGGGGAGCAAACAGGAUUAGAUACCCUUGUAGUCCCUGAGCGGGCUGGCAAGGCGCAU
This 472-nucleotide ribosomal RNA is filed under the name uncultured bacterium. Its description in RNAcentral is "bacterial SSU rRNA". It matches the Rfam family "Bacterial small subunit ribosomal RNA", at positions 355 to 825 of the family's 1533-position model. The record is from RNAcentral.